GGUGAUAUAGCUUAGUGGUAGAUUGCCUGCUGAGCAUGCAUGAGGCCCUGGGUUUGAUCCUCAGUACUGCCA
RNAcentral lists this transfer RNA (72 nucleotides) under Marmota monax (woodchuck). RNAcentral's name for it is "tRNA.Ala". Lineage: Eukaryota; Metazoa; Chordata; Mammalia; Rodentia; Sciuridae. The record is from RNAcentral.